AUACGGGGGGAGCAAGCGUUGUCCGGAAUUACUGGGCGUAAAGGGCGUGUAGGCGGCUUGAUAAGUUAGAUGUGAAAGCCUUCUGCUUAACGGAAGAAUUGCAUUUGAUACUGUCAGGCUUGAGUUCGAGAGAGGGUAGUGGAAUUCCCAGUGUAGCGGUGAAAUGCGUAGAUAUUGGGAAGAACACCAGUAGCGAAGGCGGCUACCUGGCUCGUAACUGACGCUAAUGCGCGAAAGCGUGGGGAGCAAACAGGAUUAGAUACCCUAGUAGUCC
Molecule: ribosomal RNA, 274 nt
Filed under: uncultured bacterium
Lineage: Bacteria
Description: partial 16S ribosomal RNA
Rfam family: Bacterial small subunit ribosomal RNA
Source: RNAcentral